This 407-nucleotide ribosomal RNA is filed under the name uncultured bacterium. RNAcentral describes it as "partial 16S ribosomal RNA". It matches the Rfam family "Bacterial small subunit ribosomal RNA", at positions 338 to 742 of the family's 1533-position model. The record is from RNAcentral.
CCUACGGGGGGCAGCAGUGAGGAAUAUUGGUCAAUGGGCGAGAGCCUGAACCAGCCAAGUCGCGUGAAGGAUGAAGGAUCUAUGGUUUGUAAACUUCUUUUAUAUGGGAAUAAAGUGAGGAACGUGUUCCGUGUUGUAUGUACCAUAUGAAUAAGCAUAGGCUAACUCCGUGCCAGCAGCCGCGGUACUACGGAGGAGGCGAGCGUUAUCCGGAUUUAUUGGGUUUAAAGGGUGCGUAGGUGGUUAAUUAAGUCAGCGGUGAAAGUUUGUGGCUCAACCAUAAAAUUGCCGUUGAUACUGGUUGUCUUGAGUAUAGUUGAGGUAGGCGGAAGGCGUGGUGUAGCGGUGAAAUGCUUAGAUAUCACGCAGAACUCCGAUUGUGAAGGCAGCUUACUAAACUAUAACUG